UUAGUUAUCUUUUCCUAUGCCAGUAACACGUCGUUUUGAUUACAGGCUGUGGUAGAGAUGACAACUUCUCAUCAGUAUCUGUCUUUCUCGUCUUCCUGGUGCACAGCUAGAAGACAUUUCUCAUUCCUCUUGCAUUUGGUAAGGCCACACGCUUAGUGACUACUCACCAAGGAAGUUUAGGAAAAGUGAGACUUCUCCAUCUUUUUGCCAGUUGCUGGAUGAAUGAAGACUUUCCGAAGGAAGGAAAGACCGCAAGAUAGGAGGAACACAGGUGGCACAAGGUCAGGCUACUCAGCAGAAGGUCUUAGAGGGAGACUCCUAGAGGAAGGGGCUUCUCAUCCUGGUUCUGGGGCCAUUUUUCCUAUUGAUUCUAGCAGAAUGUGGCAGCAAACAGCAGCCCGGACUCCUAGAGGCACUCAUCCUCCAGCAAGUUUCCCUGGCUCUCCAGCGCGCAGCCUCUCACAUAUCCCUGACUGACCUGACCGCUGGAAAGGAGCCUCCGGCCCCCACAGCCUGUUACAAGAGUAUGAACUAACCGUGUUCAGCCGCUAAAAUUUGGGGCUGCUACUUAAAGUAUAUAUCCCACAGUGAUAUAACUGAUCUAAUAAAAUCCUAUGCUGUGGAGGCAAGUGAUAAAAUUAUUGCUGAAGAGUUCCCACUAGACUUGAAAAGGCAAUUAACCAGAUAUCACAGUUUGAUAGGCCCAGAUUAUAGACAGCCCUGAGCGUCAGGCUGUGCAUUCGAUUCUCCAGGUAGUGGACACUCAACAGCUGAGUGACCUGGUCAAAGCGUCACUUUAGAGAGAGACUGGCAAAAUGGAUGGCAGAGAUUGAAGUGUGAAUUUAAGGUAGUGAGCCAUUUAGAAGCUGCUUGGGAGUGAUCUUUUUUGGAUUUCAGAAAAUGAAGGAGACAGAGGGAGAGCUUCAGAAAUGUUGCACCAAAGUCAAUCCAGAACCUUGCCUUCCUUUGUAGUUGUUUCAUUACAUUUAAAUGCAGCAAGAAUGUCACCAUCAACUUUUCACAGGUUAACUUCAUCUCACAACUUCUAGCCCAGAUUUCAAGUUUGGUCCCAACCUUGCGUGAAUAUCUAAGAACAAGCUAAUUGAAUUAAAAAAGAAAAAGAAUUUAUUCUUUUAUAUAAUAAUGACAAUUGC
RNAcentral lists this long non-coding RNA (1154 nucleotides) under Equus asinus (donkey). RNAcentral describes it as "lncRNA (ENSEASG00005034239.1)". The record is from RNAcentral. Lineage: Eukaryota; Metazoa; Chordata; Mammalia; Perissodactyla; Equidae.